Marmota monax (woodchuck) is the source of this 1753-nucleotide long non-coding RNA. RefSeq lists it as uncharacterized. Lineage: Eukaryota; Metazoa; Chordata; Mammalia; Rodentia; Sciuridae. The transcript has 3 exons. The record is from RefSeq and is a predicted model, not a curated record.
AAAGGAGCCUAUGACAUCCCAGGGCUGGCUGCACAGAAGAUGAGAAGCACCUAAUGAGAACCCACGAUGCUCUUUCCAACCUGGAAGGAAACGUGAGAAGUGGGGAGCAGAGGGGGUCAAAAUUACAUGCCUUGCACAACAGCAGCCACGGUUCUGCCACUCUGGACCUUUCUAACAAAGAACAAAGUCAAGGAAAAGUAGAAAGAGAUGGAAAAGAGGGACACAGAGAAAGGCAUUGUCUGGUCCCUGAAAACCUUCCCCUGACCACAGCACCAAGGCAGGGUUAAUCUCCUCGGCCAAACCAGAACCUGGUUUCAUGUGGUGGCCGCUGGAGUUGACAGCAGUCUCUGGGGACACUCCCUUUGUGUCUGCAGAAAGACAGAGGGAAAGGUCACCACAGGGCAGGCUGCGGCCCAAUGGCUCUGGCAGCCAGAUUUCCCAGGUUGAUUCACCUGCUCCUUCAAGUACAAGAAAUGCCCAGAGGCGCUGGCGUUUCCCUAGUCCAGCAGGAUGGUGACGAAAUCAGCACUACAGCAUUGAUGGCAUGCCCCUUGUGACCAGAAUAUGGAUACUUGCUGGUGCCUUUUUCCCUGGAGGCACAGGCAAAUGGAAGGAAGAAAGGCAUCACUCUUGUGCUGUUGUAAAUGCUGACCGAGCAACAACGUCCAGUACGUGGACCUGGGAGAGGUCCUUGGUCCAAAGAGCCACGCUGAAAAAGAAAGGAACCUCCUCAAAUGACAGAGAUAUAGGAGAUUACAAAAUGGAACCAACAAGUGCUGGAGCACCCAGGGGGAUACUGACCCUGGAUGUGGCUCUUGUGACUGGCAGAAACAUGGCAGAGGAUCUAGGACUGAGGCUUUCUGGAAUCAGGGAGCAAGCAAUGGAAAGACUGGAAGAUUUUUCCCAGUGAUUCAGGGAAGCAGCAAAGAAGAUGCCAUCUGCCUGGGAUCCCAGGGGGAAAAAAAGCCUCCCAAAUGACAUUGACAUCUGAAAUCCAUUUCCCCUUAGAGAUGACACCAGAAUGCAAAUCACUCCCAUGGAGGAGGUCAAGUUCCAAUCCAAGAUAUCUACACAAAACUAGUCACAUACCAACGAGGCCCUGGUGCCCCCAGCAGAAGCAAAUGCAAAACUUCUGUCUCUGCACACCUCCCAGGGCAAGGGGACUCCCACAGGGAAACAAGCUCCCCAGGGGAGAGGGCAAGUGACACAAUGAUGAACCAAACCGUGAGGACAAGCCCAGCCCCAGAAGGACAGCAGCAGCACCCCUGAUUAGCUUCCUGGCUUUUCUUUUCCUGAGCACCUUCAUAUCUUCUUGCUUUUCCUUUGAAGUUAAGCUCAGCUGUUGAGAUCUGGAUUUUCACCGUCCCAUCCUCACUGGCCAGCACCAUGGCUCCUGGAUGUGAAGCACCCAACAGAUAUAUAUUGGAUGUUGGUAAAAAUCUUAAUGCAUAUGAUUUGUGGCUAUGUCAUAGAUAACACAUGCAGGUAUGUCAGGACAGAGGCUCCCUCUGGGUGGGAAGAGGUGGCAAAGGAUGGGGUUAGGUGGGAAUGGUGCCAUCCACCUAUAAAGGUUCAUGUCUUUAAAUGUGUCUGGAAGCCUUAUGCAAAACAUUAAUGGUUGUUAUAUCCAGGUGGCAGGUGCCUGGGAGUCUGUAUUCUCUGUGCUUUUCUGUGUGUUUGGAGUAUUUCAUAAUUUUAAAUAAAAAUAAAUAAAGGAAGGUAUUUGCAGAAUGAAAGGGCCUCUGAUCGCACC